Molecule: long non-coding RNA, 42154 nt
Filed under: Brassica rapa (field mustard)
Lineage: Eukaryota; Viridiplantae; Streptophyta; Magnoliopsida; Brassicales; Brassicaceae
Description: long non-coding RNA (BRAP_LNC006292)
Source: RNAcentral
GGCCACAAGGUGCAAAACUAAUUGAAUAUAUCACCAAAAUAAACAAUCGUACCAUACCAAUGUAAGUUUAUGUCACAUAUUACAUUAAAAUCAUUAUUAAUUCGUAUAUUAGCAACUUAAAGCUAAGGAUCAGAUAAAGUAGUAGACAAAUAGUGGUUGCUUAGUUUGUGCUGAGCUGUUUUCUCGUGGAUGAGAAACUGAUAGCAUCGAUCCCACAUCAUGUCGUAUUUUUCUUAUCAGAAAAUUCUAUUUUUUAUUAAGGAAGAAAACAUUUUGAAAGAGAAUCAGCCAAAAGCAUUGCCAGUUUUGAAAGACGUCUUAGAGUUUUGUGUGUUUCUCUCUAAACAUAAAAAUUUAUAGGAUAAGAAAAUCACAGGUUCACAGCUCAAGCAAUGGAAGACCCACAAGUGACGUAUACUGUGGGAAGAAAACAAUGGCACAUCUUAAAUUAUAUUGGCAUUUUAUAUAGUGGUCCAGCCUACAUGAUAAUCCUCUCACUGUUGCUUUUGUUAGGAGGUGGGUUGGAUCUUAUCUUUAGAAAACAACUCUCAAUGACAAUGAUAUUAUCACAUCAUGAUAAUCCCAUUACCAGGAUAAUAAAGUAGUUGCCAGUUUUAUCUGAACAUAGUGCGCUCUAAUCAACAAAUCAAAGCAAAUCAACUUUUAUUAACCUAGUCAGGAGGAGAUCUAUGAAUCAUGCAUAAAGAUACUCUCAACUUGACUACCUCCCAGAUAAGGAAGACGUCUCUCUGCCAAUAUCCUGAUUCUGACAAUCUUACCUCUUUUAUUAGUUGAUUCCCCAACGUAAUAUUAUUUUGCUCGAUUUGUUACUUGAACUUUUAAAUUCAUGUUGUGAUGUACUCCACUCAUCAGCCAGCUGUCCUUUUCUCAAGCAAACCUUUACUUCCUUCCCAUAAUCACCCUCGAUCGCUUCAGGUAUUUUCAUUAAUUACCAUCCUAAUCUCCCUUUUUGAGCUGUUUAGGUGAUAAACUGAUUUUGUCCUUGAUUUCUUCCAAUAUUUUUAUUUUUUCGAGCUCCAAAAUCACCAUUACUGAGGAAUCUCCUUACCAAAUGUUAGAUCUCUGAUUCAAAAACUCGUAUCCCAAAAUCCAAGUAUUUAAUUCGUCAUUAUUAAUUUGCUCCAAAUCUUCUAUUCAACUUCUCCUCCUUUCACAUAGGGUCAAACGUUGAUUUUAUUUCUAACAGUCCGAUUUUUUUUUUAAGUCGAUAAACACCAAUGUUGAAUGUGACGGUUUCCCUAAGUAUCCUACCACAUCCUGCGAACCUGUAAAAACAACAACAGAUUAAAUUCAUUAUAAAACAUAAUUAAUCAAAUAUAGAAGAAUCAAAAUAAAUAUACAUAUACCUCACACGACGAACAACGCAUACCUGGGAAUUACAACGGAACACGUAAACGGGAGACACGACGACGGUUUAACGGCAGACGGAACGAGUCAACGGAAACGGUAAACGUUGACGGAACAAACAACGGCGAACACAGUCAGCGAUCCAAACCGGAUGUAGAAAUUGGAAUUCAAAAUAUAAACCAAGUCCCUUUGUUCCAUUUAAUUUUAAAUAACCACUUCUAUUACUGUUCUUCAAUUCUAGAUAUUUUUCGAUAGCAAAUGAAGUACUAUGUACAAUUCAUCUUCACGCAACAAAACAAAAAACUUCAAGACGGUGUCGUUUUCGUCUCCGAUUCAAUAACAAACCCGAUCAAAGAUCAUCAGCCUUCGACAUAGACGAUAGCCUACUAGGCCUAGGCUGAUAAGCAGACCUCCUUUUCAGCUGAUGCGAAGAAGGCCUUAUCAAAGUCGUCAACGCUCUUCUCACCCACUCGCCUUCAACCCCACCGAUCCUCACCAGAGAAUUCGUCAUCGCCGAUCUCCUCAUAUUCAAACUGUUCGUCGGAUACGCCGCCGCCGUCGCGGCGCCUUGCCCGUGGGGAUUCGCCACGUUCUUGUGCAGACUGCACCGGAACGAUCCGGGGUGAGUCGUCGGCGAGCACAUGCAUCUCCUCCUCGAAUCGGGGAUCUUGUUGCCGCUGGCGCUGGGCUUCGAAACGGCGAUGGAUCUGGUGUUGUCGAUCGAGUAACGGAACGAUGAUUGUUUUAAGGGGGAGGAUGCGAAGAGGUUAACGCGCGUAGGGGACGCGGAUCUGUGGGGUUGAUGAUGGUUGCUGAAGAAAGUACGGGAGGAGAAGGUGGAGCUUGUGGAGGAAGCGAAGCCUGGUGAAGACGGAGAGCGUAGCGCAGAAGCGGUUGAUCUGGUUCUAGAAGAUGUAACCGCCAUUUUUUUUUUGAGAGACUCUAAUUGGAAGAGAAGGUGUUGUUUCUAGAAGAAGGCGAGAAAGUUUUUUUUUGUUUCUUAAGUCCCCUGAGGAUAGUUGGUUCGGCAAACCUAGUGAGUCUCAGAAGGGGAAUUUAUAGGUGAGGACGAUGAAUGGUGUUUUUUGUAAUUAUUGAGAAAGUUUGUGACCUUUUGCGUAAUUUAGGGAAUUUGGUUAAGUGACUUAACCAUGGUUUGUUUAUCAACUUGUAGGAUUCUGAUCCAACGGCUGAGAAGGAUGGUUCAGCUGAGUGCUUUUUGUGGGCACUUACAAUGGGCGCAUGAUUGAUGAAAUAGCUGAUAAAACUAUAGGCCAACAAAAAGAAAUAGUUUAUGUCAAAUUGUAGAUGCUUGUUUUUGAAAAUGGUUACUUCAAAAAUAUAAAACCUAAGAAAUAAUAACAACUAUGCAUUCUUUAUCUUUUUUUUUGCUAACAUUUGGUGCAACUAUGCAUUCUUUGUCCAGUCCCACAAACAAAAAAAGUCGUAUAAGAAUAAGUUGACGGUUUGUGACCAUGAUAAACCCCAUCUUAAUAAAACAUUCAAACCAAGUACGAACGUAGGCCAUUCAUUGUUAAUAAGUAAGAACCAGCUUUCUAGAAUUAAAACGUGAUUCAAACUUAUGAUCAGUUUUUUUUUUUAAAAACUUAUUACCGUUGGUUGAUAGGCCAAACCAUCUACGUGCUUAUAAAACCCAUUGAUUCAAAAGAAUACCAGAAUAUGAUAUAACAUGUAUAUGGAAAUAUCUCAUAUGUUGUAAAGUACCUCCUUCGUUUUUGAUAUUUUUAAAACUAAACUUAUGCCUAGUAAUUAGUCAUAAUUUUCUUAAUAGUUUUACAUAAUAUUAUUAAAAAAUAGUCUAGAAGUUCAUGGGAGUGAGAGUAGAAUGAGCACAUGAUGGUGAUGAAUAUGUUCCCAGCUGCGGGGAGAGUGACUCUAACACCAUUAUGUGUCAGCCUGUCAGAUUUUGGGUCAUAUUCUUCAAAAUCUAUGGGAACAAAUACAAAAUAUACUCACACUCUUUUUCUAGCCUUUUAACCGCCAAUCUUUUUAUUUUGUUUUUUUUUCUGGUUUAGAAAGAUUCAGUGUUAGUGGUCGUCUAAAAAGUAUCACUGAUUCACUGCUAUGUUCAUUAAGUUGGAAGGUGAGUAGAUCUACUAAAUUGAUAAUUUGAUAGUGAGACUUAUUUAUGUAGGAAACAUCUAAAAUAAGAUGGCUAGUUGGCUAUUGCCUGCAAUCUAUUGCUAUAUAAUAAACGUAAUAAUAAAUAAACUUAAUUGUGCAGGUUAGACAAUUAUAAGAAAAAAAAAACUAAUUUUCCAAAGAUGGGCCCUAUAUAAUAACCUCAGAGUAAUACUUGUAAGUCGCUGUUAAUAUCUGUAAAUAUGUAAUACUUAUUUGUAAACUUGGGGGAUUUAUAGUGCCCCAACAUGGAUCAAGAAUAAAACCAUUCGAAUAUGAUAAAACAUACUAAUAUAUCCAAUGUAUAACUAGAGGUGCAUAAUUAUUUUCCCACCAAUAUAAAAAUUUGAAUUACAUGGAUUAAGAAAGAGGAAUUUAUUACGAAUAGGUUGAGCUUCUCUUUUUUGGGUCAAACAGUUUGAGCUUCUUAAUUUGCAACUUGCUGGUCUUAAGUCAGUCCGCUAGGCCACGGAGUCAAGUCCUGCGCUUUUAGAGUUCAGACUUUUCGUUAUAUGAUUAUUCUAUGUAAGAUUUGUCGAGUAAUAACUAUUGGCAUUGACUCAGAUUGGCAAUGGAAGAAAAAGCAGCACAACAAAUAUCUUUUUUUUCUUCUUAAUGACAAAUAUCUUUCUUUCUUUUUGAGAAAAAAUGACAAAUAUCUUUGAUCAGAAAAAAUGACAAAUAUCUUUUUAGUACAGUAAAGGGCGAAUGUAAUAAGCCAAUAGGAGAAAAAGAUAACAAUAAAUAUCUUCUUUAUGAAGGAUUUAUUUUAAUUCAUAAUUGGUGACACGUGUUUGAACAGUUGACUAAUUACAAUUUCUCAAAAAAUGUUUGUUUAUAAGCUGCUUUACAUAUGGUUUGCCAAUGGUUUUCGUUUUUAACUUACCAUUGUUUCAGCUCUUCAUUGUAUCUGAUUGGUAGUUGAAUAAGCCAUUGCGGCUAACCGCUGCUAGCAUUAGUAGUAUAAAAUAAAGGAGGUUCAGUGCACCCAUUGUAAUGGUGACGGUUAGUUCCGAGGAAUCUACAAAAUUUAAUUAGAUUAAAUAUCAGGCUAAUUAAUAAAUAUAGUAGUCACAAUCACAAAGCUUGUGUUGUGUCAUGUUGGGCAAGUGCUUGAGGGACAAGCAAAUCUUUUAAGCACAGGCCAAACUUAUGACACGUAUGAAUCCAUCAAAAUACAGUCGGCACCCACUUCUCAUCAGCCUCACGACAAGUGAAAGAAACUAAAAUAGUUUCUUUUUCUUCUUGAUUAGCAGGUGAUCGGUUAAUUAUUUAAUUCAAACAACGGAGUCGAGUUCUAACAUGGGUCAUGUGAUUAUCAUCGUUUAUUACAAGUUAACAAUCCUCAUGUUGAUCAGGAAGUAUUUGUACACCACAUGAUCAAGCAUAUUGUUUGUUUAAAAUUAAGAUGAAAAUGUGUAUUCUAUUCAUAAAACCAUAUUAUGAUUUAUGAAAUAUUCGAAUAUACUGUUUAAAGAAAAGAAUAUGAAUAAUUAACUAAAGCAUAUUUGAUAAAUUGUAAACGCCAAUUAGGCGCGCCUAAUUAUUGUUCAGUGGAAGUGUGAAGAACUUGAAAACCCAAAGCCAACGUUCUCGGAAGUCUGAUCAUUUAACCACUAAUAAUAAUAUCAACACCAGCCCUAUUUAUAAUUCAUAAACUAACCACACAUUUUUCUUAAGCAGUCUCAAGUUUGAGUUUAGUCAUAAUGUAGGAAAACGGUCAUAACCUACUCUAAGUUUGGCCAUAUAUUUAAUUCAUACCCAAAAUAUCUAAAGUUUAUUUUUUUUUGCGAAAAACUAUUACUUCCGUUAAUUAUGUAAAGCCCGUUAAUAAGCCGUUAAACAUUCAUACCCAAACCAUGUCAUUUCUACGUGUAUGAAUGUUUUACGGUUUAUUAGCGGGCUUUACAUAAUUAACGGAAGUAACAGUUUUUCGCAGAAAAAAAUUAAGGAUGAAAUUUGGUUUUUUUUUGAAAUUGUAGGUAUGUGUUCGCAUUCUUGUAUAUUUUUGGGUAUAAAUUGAACAUAUACCAAAUUUGGAAUGGCCGUUUCCCGUAAUAAUGCCAUUGUCAUCAUCACCUCUGAGUUCUUUCUAUAGACCUUUUCGCGUGAUUGCUAAAUAGCUGGCAUGACUAGUUUUUUAUUCCAUUAAAAAAAUUACAAACUUGAAGAUUAUAAACUAAAGUGCAAAAUAUUGAUAUUUUCUACCUUGUACAUAUUUUAUUUACGAAAUAUACCAUAUUAUCCCACUGCUAUAUGCAGUUGUAGAUUCACCUCUACGAGACCAUGGUCACAUGGUAGUUCAAUAUAAUUUCAACGAACAGUAUCUUAGCCAUGAGUUAUAUAUCCUCAAUUGCAAAUAUAAUUAACACUAUAAUACUUCGUAUAAAAGUUCUCAAGAGAAUUAGAAAACUUCUACAAGCCAGUCUUAAAUUUUAUUCUCUCAAGUUCGUGUAGACUCCUAGAACUGGAUAUUAAAGCAUCCAUUGGUGAUUAACUCUAAUAGUGUUUAUUUUAUACUUGGGUUUUAUGAAUUAAAGAAAGAAGACAAUUAAAGGGUGUAGAAUAGUUUAGUUAUCUUCUCGUGGGCUAAUACAACUUCAUUCGAACCAAACCAAAAUUUCGCUUUUACAAAAUCUAGGCCCAGACUUUACUAACCCAAGUAUAAUCUGUUCUGCAACGGUUGGACCGGAUUGACUCAUUUGCAGUUCCAAAAGCACUCUUUGGUGUAAACAUGAUGUUUGCAGUUUUGGUAAGAGAUAGAUAAGUAAUAUUUUACAUCAGAAAUGGAAUACGUUGAUCGUUAUAAUUUGAUAUACAUUGUCUAACUAUUUGUGAUUUAACGAAUAUCAAAGAUGAUGAUAUAGCUGUUGAAUAUUCUCGAAAGAAAAAAUAUGUGCAGAGACAAUCAGUUAAAGAACAUAAUCCAUUAAUUUUAGAAUUAGAGGCCCUUGUCGCGUCAAGAAUAUGUGCAAGAAGCUAAAACAUUGUCCAUUUUACCUAUUUACAUAAAUUAUUGUUAUUUUGCAAUCAAUUAUAAACGCAAUUGCAUAUAGACAGACAAUAAGCAAACUAUGGUUAGGCUAAAUAGCUGCUUAGAAGUGGAGUUUGUUGGCCAAACAAUAGAUUAGACACAAUAGCAGCUUGCUUAUAGGGGUUAGUUAGGCUAAUAGCUUCUUAAAUGAACAAGAACAGUGGAAGACUGGUUCAUUUUCUUAAACUGAACUCUUUUCAAUCGACACAAAAUAUGCUCUAAUCGCGUUACCGUAAGGGUUACUCUUUCACAGACAAUUUAACACUGAAGACAACAUCAUUAUAGUACUGUCUAAAUGCAUGUUCAGCCGAAUGAUUAACUUGUUGGAUGUUGGAAUUAUGUUCUUUUUAGGACAGAACCUUAUGACACAAUCCACUUAACAACAACAUCUCUUCAAACGCAAACAACAGCUUCCUGAUUCUUUCGAACUACAUACCAUACCACACAGUAACAAUUGCUCAAAGCUGAAACCUUUAUGAUCGCAUACACAAAAAAAAAAAAAAACAGUUUUCGAAACAAAGUGAUAAGCUUUCUAGAGUUGUCUCCCAGCAGCAUCAGCGACAAGGGGGAUAUAAGGCGUCUUUCCGACCAAACAGCUCACAACUCCAUAGACAAAACACAUGAAGCUAAACACAAACACACCCGUGUGUCCCCACAUCAUGGCCUUCAUCCCAAACCCACCUCCUCCAUGACCCGGAUCCAGUAUCCUCGUCAGCAAAACCGGAACCGCCAACAGCACAUCGAGCGUCACGGCCUGCAUCGCGUUGAACCUAACGUACCUGCUGAAACUCGUGUUCCUCACCACACCCAAGUAGAGCCCAAAGAAGGCCACGAAGCUCGCGCCGGGGACGGACCUGUAGAGGUUGAGCAGCGGGAAGAUGGGCUCCACGAGGAGGCCUAGCCUCGGGUACUGCGCGAAGAGGAAGCGUCCGUAUUGGAGCGAGUUGAAGAACGGUAAAGCGUAGGAUGCGAUUGAGAUCACGCGCUCGGUUGCUGGUGUUGGGGUGUAGGAAGCGCGCGUGGUUAAGGUGGAGGGGCGUCUGGUAGGGAAGGAGCGUGGUGUUGGUCUAGGAGCCGCCAAGGGUUUUAGGGUUUGGUGGAGAGAUAAGCACAUUGACGCCAUUUUCAGAAAAAUCUCUUCUUUUUUUUUAGAGAGAAACGAUGAAGAGAUGAAGCUUUUAACUGAAUCGAACCGAUCAAACCGAGUUCGAACCGGAGUUUAAUUAAACCAAAUACCGAAAUUGAAUAAUCUAAUUGAAAUGGUCUGCUUUUCUUCUUUUGGCAACUUAUCUGAUAUAUCUAUUAGGAUAUGUUUUUGGAUUUUCACAUCUAUCUUAUUAAAACUGAAGUACAAAAUGAGAUUGUUUGAAAACAUGUAUAUGAGUUUAAAAAAUAAGAGUGUUUGGUAAUAUGGAUUGUAGUCUUUUAAAAAAAUAUUACUUUUGUUUGGAAAUAAAGAUAGUAAUAUUUAACAAAAAAAGUAAUGGACUUAUCUUAUUAAGAAAAAUUGAAAGUCCAUCAUAUUAUAAGAAAUUAUCUAUUUGGAUCAGUUUUAAAAUGAGUCAAAUCAUUUAAACUUUUUUUUCAAAACUAACCAUAAAACAAAAUUUAAACUUUAUAUACAUAUUUCAAAUCAAAAUAAUAAUUCAAAAUUGAUUUACAUCAUAAAUUAAUUGAAAAAUAUACAUAUAUUCAAAAAUUAAUUUUUACUAAACUCUUUUUCAAUAACCAUUACUUUUGUUUGAAAACAAGGAUAGUAUUAUUAAGCAAAAAAGUAAUGGGUUUAUGUUAUUAAGAAAAAUUGAAAGUCCAUCAUAUUAUAAAAAACUAUCUAUUUGAGCCAGUUUUAAAAUGAGUCAAUCUAAUUGCCUAAAACUUUUUUUCUAAACUAACCAUAAAACAAAAUUUAAACUUUAUAUACAUAUUUCAAAUCAAAAUAAUAAUUCAAAAUUGAUUUAUAUCAUAAAUUGAUUGAAAAAUAUACAUAUAUUCAAAAAUGGAUUUUUACUAAACUAUUUUUCAAUACCCAUUAUAAAAAAUGUUGUCAACAUAUAUAUAAGAAAAAUACAAUACGAAGCCCAAUUUGAAAUACCAACUCAAAUUAUGGUUUUUAUAUUUCAUAUUAAGUUUUAAAAAUAUAAUAUAUGUAAUUAUUUAUAUGAUGGUAUAUAUAAAAUAUGAUUAAUUAUAUGAUGACAAUAUACGAUACAUAAUAAUGACUAGUAUUAUUAAGCAAAAAAGUAAUGGGUUUAUGUUAUUAAGAAAAAUUGAAAGUCCAUCAUAUUAUAAAAAACUAUCUAUUUGAGCCAGUUUUAAAAUGAGUCAAUCUAAUUGCCUAAAACUUUUUUUUUUAAACUAACCAUAAAACAAAAUUUAAACUUUAUAUACAUAUUUCAAAUCAAAAUAAUAAUUCAAAAUUGAUUUAUAUCAUAAAUUGAUUGAAAAAUAUACAUAUAUUCAAAAAUGGAUUUUUACUAAACUAUUUUUCAAUAACCAUUAUAAAAAAUGUUGUCAACAUAUAUAUAAGAAAAAUACAAUACGAAGCCCAAUUUGAAAUACCAACUCAAAUUAUGGUUUUUAUAUUUCAUAUUAAGUUUUAAAAAUAUAAUAUAUGUAAUUAUUUAUAUGAUGGUACAUAUAAAAUAUGAUUAAUUAUAUGAUGACAAUAUACGAUACAUAAUAAUGACUAGGGAUGGACUUUCGGUUAUCCAUACGAGUUUGGUUCUGAUCGAUUUGCAUUUCAGAUUUCCGGGGUCAAAGAUUUCAGCCCUAUUAGGAUGUUUCUAAAUUUUGGUUUGAGUGUGAUUCAGACCUUUGCGGGUUUGGUUCGAGUUUGGAUCCAUUUAAAUUAUUUUUAAAGGUUUAAAUCAUUAUAUAUUUUAAAUUUCUCAAAAUCUAUAAAUAAAAUAAUAUAUUUCCUAUAAAUUUAAAUAAGAUAUGUCAGAAUACCUAAGCUUAACAUAUCAAUUGGCAUUUAAAAUUUUUGGAUACAAAAUCAAUAAAUAUUUUAAGUAUUUUUGGUGAUUUGAGUAUACCUUAACUAUUUCAGAUAUUUACUUUUGACUAUCUAUAUAUAUUUUCAAGUAUUUAAACCAAUUUAAAAGUAUAAUUCUUGAUGUUUUAUAUACGUUAAAUCUAAAUAUAAUUAAAUAUAUAAGUAUCCGAAUACUUCGGUUCGGAUCAGAUUUGGAUCUCUAAAUAACAAAACUUUGAAUAAUUUGAAUAUUUAAUCAAUUUAUGUUCGGGUUUGGUACUAUAUUUUCGGAUCGGUAUCGGGUCUGUUCCUCGGAUUCAUUUUGCCAAACCCUAAUAAUUACAUGAAAAACAAAUAUCAACAUAUUUUUCAAAAUAUACAUCCGCGCAGGCGCGCAGAUUAAAUAUUAACAUAUUUUUCAAAAUAUUUUGCUAUCAAUUUUGGUUCGGGUUUGGUAUUACACUUUCAGAUCAAGAUCGGUUUCGUUCUUCAGAUUUUGAUUUUUUUCAAGCACUAAUAUUAACAUAAAAAACAAGUAGCAAAAUAUUUUUGAAAAAUACAUCCGCGCGGGUGCGCGGAUUAAAAUCUAGUUUUGAUUAAUGUUCAAGCAAUAGCUAGAUACUAAUUAGACAAUUUUUUAACAAAUUAUUAAUUAAUCGGAAGUUUAGACCAAUGUUAUAAAUGAUUAGACUAGUUUUUUUUUCAAAAAUCUAUCUGAACAAUUUCUUGAUUUAAAUUUGAUUUAUUGUUUAAACUGAUUUUAGAACACUAAAACUUAAUUUGAGUUUUUAAUCUUCAUUCACAUUUUCUAUAUAUUUGGCUUGAUUUUAUUAAUACUAAUUUAAAUUUAGAUAAAUUCAUAUUUUUUUUUUCAGAAUUUCAGAUAUAAAAAUAAUUUUUAAUUCAGUUAUUUUACGAAUAGAUCAAAAAAAAAAAGUAAAAGAAAACUUUAAUUAUUUUAAAAGUUUUGAAAAUUAUUUCUAACAUUAAUUUUAGUUGGGCAAUUGUCAAUAAUAGCACCUUUUGAAGUUUAUGUCUCAAAAAUAGCACUAGAAGGAGAAAGUCACAAAAAUGACAUUCAUUAAAGGAUAAAAUAUCCUCAAUACCCUUGGUUUAAAAUUAAAUAAACAAACAAAAAUAAAUAAAAAUAAAUAAGAUAAAAAUUAAAAAAAAUUAAAAAAAGAAUUUUUUUUUUAUAGUUUCAGAUUAUAUGUUUUCAGAUUCGAAAUUUUUAUAAAUAUUUUUUUGAAACUUUGUUUCAAAUUUUUUUUUUAUUUUUUUUUCAAAUUUUCUUUUUAUAAUUUAAAAAUACUUUUUAAAACUGUUUUUAAAAUUUUUAUUUUUUAUUUUAGUAUUUAUUUUUUAUAAAAUUUUAAACCCUAAUUCCAAAACCCCACCCCUUAACUCUAAACCCUAAGGUUUGGAUUAAUUAACCCAAGGGUAUAAGUGUAUAUUUACCUCUUUAAUGAAACCUAUUUUUGUAACUUUGAGCCUUGAGUGUUACUUUGGGAACAAAAACUUGGUUUAGUGUCAUUCUAUUCUUUUUCUCAUUUUAGUUUUUAUGCUUAUUUUUUAUAUCUACUAAAUUUUCAGAUUUUAUAUUUUCUAAGUAUCCGUUUGGAUUUAGAUUGCUUACAAAUAAUAUAUAAUAUUCGAAAUACAGUCUUAUAAAAUUCUCGUUCAACUAUUUUUAUAACUCGAUUUGGAUAUAAAUCAAGGUUUAUUGGUUCAAGUUUGGUUCAGAUCUCGGUUUAGGUACAAACAUUCAUUCUUAGUAAGGACAUUAGGAAAGAGUUUAAUUCUCUUUGAUCAAGAAAAAAGAAAAAAAAGAAAGAGUUUAAUUCUCUUCAUCACCAAGACACGAACUAUAACUAGAGAAGAAGAAGAAGAAGACUUUGAAGACACUCUGCCUCCUUCUCCCAAACUCUCUCAAAAUGGGUUGCGGUGGAACUCUGUUCUACCCACUUCUCAUUACCCUCUCCGUCGCUCUGAUCACAUACAACAUCCUCAUCUCCUCCAACGCUCCUCUCAAACAAGGCUUCCCCUCUUCCUCCUCCUACGAGGACCCGGUCAUCCAAUUGCCACGCGGCGGAUCCAGAAUCCGCGGCAACAACGACAAGAAGAUUAGGCUCUUCCACACGGCCGUUACAGCCUCUGACUCCGUCUACAACACGUGGCAAUGCAGAGUCAUGUACUACUGGUUCAAAAAGGCCAAAGCUUCCGCUGGACCCGGAUCCGAAAUGGGCGGGUUUACCCGGAUCUUGCAUAACGGUAAACCCGAUAAGUAUAUGGAUGAGAUUCCCACUUUCGUUGCUCAGCCUCUACCUUCUGGGAUGGAUCAGGUAAAUCAAAAUUUGAUUUUUUUUUUUUUGGUUCGGACAUUGAGUUAAGGUUUUGUUAUUCGGACAGGGUUAUGUAGUUUUAAACAGACCAUGGGCGUUUGUACAGUGGCUUCAACAAACAGACAUUAAAGAAGAGUAAGAUUGAUCCCUUUUCGCUUCCACACUUGUUUUUUUUGGUAAUAAAAGUAAUGAUUUUUUUUUUUAAUGUAAUGCAGUUAUGUUCUGAUGUCUGAGCCUGAUCAUGUCAUUGUGAAACCUAUACCGAACCUAGCUAAAGAAGGGUUCGGAGCUGCGUUUCCUUUCUUUUACAUCGAACCGAAGAAGUAUGAGAAGGUGUUGAGGAAGUAUUAUCCUGAAGAGAGAGGACCUGUGACUAACAUUGAUCCUAUAGGAAACUCUCCUGUCAUUGUCGGAAAGGUUUGUUUUUUUUUCUUGUCAUGAAGAGUUUGGGAUCAGGUUUUCAAAAGGGUGUCUCUUUAUGGUUUUUGUAGGAGGCUUUGAAGAAGAUUGCUCCUACUUGGAUGAAUGUUUCUUUGGCUAUGAAGAAGGAUCCUGAAGCUGAUAAGGCUUUUGGAUGGGUUCUUGAAAUGUACUAAUCUUUUGAAUAAAAAAACGAUUUUUUUGUUUUGUUUAGAGUGUUGUUUUAGUUUUUGACUAUAACUUUUGUUAUAUAGGUAUGCUUAUGCGGUUUCAUCUGCGUUGCAUGGUGUUAGAAAUGUUCUACACAAAGACUUCAUGAUUCAGGUAAUCCUAUUACACAUUUUUGAGUUUCAGGAUAGCGAAAUAGUUAUUGAAUGGACCUCAUAUUGUUGCUUGUUAGAUAGAUAAGAUGUUUAUUUUGAUGCAUUAACCAAAGAAACUUUGGUUUGGUUGUGUUUGUGGUAAUAAUAAAAUCAGCCUCCAUGGGAUAAAGAGGUUGGUGACAAGUACAUCAUACACUACACUUAUGGAUGUGACUAUGAUAUGAAGGUAAAGAUUUCAAAUUCUGAUUUGUCAUUUCCAAUUUUCUUUAAGGUGGAUUGUAAUUGAUGUUGUUGUGAUUUUCAGGGACACUUAACCUAUGGGAAGAAAGGGGAAUGGAGAUUUGACAAAAGAUCGUAUAUUAAGUCACCGCCACCAAAGAACCUUACAAUGCCACCACCUGGUGUUCCACAGAGUGUGGUAUGUUUACAUAUCCUGUCUUCAUUUUCUGAAAAUAUAUAGUAUAUGAUUAUCCUGUAACAUCUGUACAUAUGAUUACAAGACACAGUCUCCAAGUUUUCUUCAUUUAUGUAUUAUUGUUGGUAGGUAACAUUAGUGAAGAUGGUGAACGAAGCCACGGCAAACCUUCCAGACUGGGGAUCAUAGAGAGAGAUAUAAACAGUUUAACUUUUUUUUGGUCUUAAUCUUAUCUAUAUACGUUGUCGGUGUAGUUUGUAAAAUAUAUAGCUUUUCAAACAAACCGUUGUAUGGCAUUUUACAUUCUAAUUCUCUAACUACUAGGUUUGAAUGUCAUCGAGCAUCCAAGAUGAUACUGACAUACACUAGCCAAACACCAGCCAUUAUGUGCAUACUACAAAACAACCUAUUGAAAAUAACUGAACUUAUUAAGUUAAAAGAUAGUAGUGGCUCACAAGUAAGCGAGACCAAACCAUGCCACUAAUCCAAAACCUCAAAUCCAAGCCGGUGGCUGCAUCCAAGUCUGAUCUUGAUUCCCUUACUCAUAUAUUGGCUUGAGAAUAUAUUUAAAUAGAAAAUGGCCAUAAUGCAUGCAAUCUCUGUUAUGACGUCAGUAUGUGUCAUAAACGUUAUGAAUAAUGGAGGUGAUUAGUGUCUUUGUUAUAGCUAAUAAGACUGGACAACAUGGACAGCCUUAUCUUUAAUGGUGACUUGGUUGGUUUAUUCAACAAAUCUCAACCCAACUUUUGUCCUUUAACCCAACGGCUAAUCAUCACUUGCCAUGCCAGGCUGCCAGCCUUUGAUCUUUGUCUUCACCACUUUUUGUUUUGUCUUUACUUAUUAUCACUAAUUACACUAUAAUGGUGGUGAUUAGUUAAUUACUUAAUUACCAUUAACUAUUAGUUGCGCUCACCCGCUCUUUAUUAGUUACAAAAUAUAUAUAUUGAAAGAUGAGAAAAAAUGGAAUUGCUACUUUCACUUUUCAUAUAACAGCAAUCUUAGUGUAUUUAUAUUUUAUAAUGCGCCAGUAUUAUCAAUAUCAUAGACAUAAAUUAUCAAUAUCAAAAGAAGCAUAGAUAAAAAAAAGCAACCGUUUCACUCCCGCCUUCACAGCUGUCUUUAAUGAUUAGCCAGCUAGACCAAUGAUCCUCUCACAUCACUGUCACGGUAUUCUAAAUAACGGUCCAGUCCAUCCCUAACGGUCAAUUCGCCACGUGGAGUAAUCUCACUCGGUUUUGUAAAUAUAUAUAGAGCUGAUCGUUUACUUGCUAACCAAAACUCUCAAAGAUAACAACAACACUCUCUGUUUCUCAUGGCUACAGAUCAAGAAAACCUACUCUCAGAUGAUUACCAAGAAACGGCGGCGUUUUGCGGGUGUAGGUAUCUCUGUAACUUCUGGUGGAGAAGAAGAGGAGACGGUGGCUGGAGCGGUAACUUGCAGGAAGAGAAAGGAGAAAGUUGGUGGACCAGGAAACUGAAGGGGCCAAAAGAGAUUUCUGAGAAAAUUGCGGGGCCAAAGUGGAAAAACUUUAUAAGAAGUUUUAGCAAUGGGAGGAAGAAGAUGAAGAGAGAUGUGGACUUCACGUACGAUCUCAAAAACUACAGUCUUAAUUUUGACGACGGAGGCGGAGAAAAUUCUUCACCGGAGAGGUUUAUAGCUACUCCGGCUGUUGUAAAAGUUUGAUAUUUUUCUCAACUUUUUUGUAUUCUUUUUUUAAUUGAUCAUGUUAUAAAUGUUAAUACCAAACAUAUACAAAGAGGUUAUAAAAUCAUUAAACCCUUUAACAAAAAAAAAAGUUAUAAAAUCAUUUAGGCGUUACUUGUUGUUCAAUCGCCACUCCAAAUUAGAUAAUAGGCAUGUUCUUUUUCUUGACGCGUGCCGCAGCGUCAACUGCUAACAAACAGGAAGAAAAUUUUGUAAUUAAAGCCAUCGUUUUUUAAGUUUGUGAAGGUGCGGUUAUUUUACGGAAUGUUACCGGUGAUAUUAGUGACGCUGAAAAAAACAACGUUCAUCGGAAUUGCCUUCGUGGUCAAACGCGGAGGUUGCUGCCAUUUAUUCUCCAUAUCUUUAAGCCUCAAGAAAUUUAUAAUUAGGUAUUAUUUUGAACGCUUGACGCUGACGCUGCGAUUCUUUACCGAACAGGGCUUAUGUCUACUGUUUUCUACUUGUUAACCCUUUUCACACCAAACAAAGCUUUUCUACAUUUGUUAGAAGAUCAUUCAUAAUAUCCUUAAUUUUCUCGUGUCAGAAUAUGUAUAUUUAAUUAGAUCUGUGUAGAGAUUACAUGCAUAUUACAUGUUUGAGUUCUUGUCUAACUCGUUCCAUCAAGGAUCUCUCGCUCUCAGUAGGAACCAGAGGACCAAAACCAUAUAUAAACCCUCGUCAAGCAUAUUAAGGAAAGAGUAAGGAUAAAUUGUGUGGUUGUUUACAUACUGACCUACAACACUGUUACUGUUGUUUAUCAGUUUAUGUUUUCCAAUGGUAUUUUACAAAAUUUGCUCCCUCAAUAGCAAAGGUGAAUCUAUUUGUCAUGUUUUGUCCUAUACCAAAACCAUAUUUUCACCGAGAUGAUCAAAAGCGUAGGGCAAGGAGAAAAGAGAUAGAUCGAUUUAAGAUGUUGGGCUGUGUGUAAUAAUUAGUGGGCUAGACCCAUCUAUAUUGAUUUCGUCCUUGGCCCAUUCCACCAAUUCGCCAAACGCAUGAAAGUUUAGGGUACGAAUGGUGAUCAGGGAACGGCGAGGAAUAAUGCAUUCCCUAACGUUCCUGAAAAAAAUUACCAUUCACAAGGAAUAAUAAUUUCCUCUCAUUCCCUUUCAUUCCUUUUUUGUAGAGAAUUAAAGAACAAAAGUAUUCCUUGUUAAAAGUGAUAAGGAACGACCAUUCCUUUUCAUUCCUGCUAUUUUAUUCCCGAACAUUCUUUUUUAAUCUGUUCCUCUUGUUUCCCGAAUGGUCACCAAUCAAACCCUUAGUGUCUCUAGACUCUAGUUGAGGCUUGUUUUUUUUUCUUUCCAAUAGUUAAUGUUUUUCUCCUUUUCUCACUAGUUGAGGUUUUGGUCAGUCUGUAAGAGUAUAAAAACAUGUUAGAUUUCUUCUUAUCCUUAUAAACAGAGGUCUAAGUAGAUACACUGUGUCAAGUUACCGGUCUUAACUCUUAAGCACAGCAAGUUGAAAAUUCGCAUACAACCUUCAAUAUUAGUAGUUAAAAUGUAUAUGUCAUUCAAGUCUUGUAUCACUUAUUUACUAAUUAUUUGAAACUUCACGAAACUUAGAGCUUGGAGGUCGGUUGGGUUGUUUUGGUUCUCUAUGUCACCAGUGUCGGUCCAGAAAAAAAAAGUAAUAGAAGCUUGGUCUUCCGACCUCAAUUUGUAUAAGAAUUUAAUUAGCCACUGAAUCAUAAAAGUUCUAAGUAAUCCCUUCGUCAUUAUUAUUAAAUGAUAGUUUUUAAAAAAAUUUAAGAAUAAUGAGCCUUACUAAAUGAUUCUUAAUUUAUAUUUUGCAUCCAGCCUUAGUAUUUUCAGGGCCGGCACUCUGUCACAACUCACAAGCUAACUGGCAUCCUUAACACUAUAAGUUUAGUUCGCUAACUGGUUGGUCCUGUCCAAGAUCAUUCUGCGAUGAACAAAUUACUAUAGAUAUAAUAUUAUCUAAUAAGAAAAAUAUACUCAUUCAUGAUCAAUUUGCAUAUAUGAUUUCUUAUAUACAUUUAUAUAUAUAAUAUUUAUGUGUUAGAUAUUGAUAUACAUGUGCUGGUGCUGCGAUGCUGCUAUGGGGUGAGAGUGACGGGUGAAAAUAAAAUGGUAACAUGAAAACUGAAAGAACAACACUAUCUAACGAUAAAGUCAAAAGUUUCUUCUUCAUAUUCGACCAAUUAGAUAUUCAACAUGAUUCCAAAGAAAGGUUCAAAAGAAAAAAAAAACAUUGUUCCAAAGCACACAUCACAUGGCCUACUAAAUCCAAAUUUCUCUUCCAUAAAUAACAAUAAUAUUUCUAAUGAUUUUUUUAAUAAAAUAUAAAACCCUUUAGAAAAUGAAACAGAAUACUGUCUUACAACUGACCAAUGCAUACGAUUUAUUUUUGUUAAAAUAUUUUGGUUUUCGGAAGGACCCGAGAUUAUCAUAGCAAAAGCUAUAUAUAUGGUUAUAAGACCAUUUUCUAUAAGAAAAUCAGUAGUAAUUCCUUGAGAAAAAAAAUUACAACAAUAAAUUAUAUGGAACAUGCAAAUCAGAGUAAAUUCAAGUGUGAAGCAAAGAAAGGAUUAUAUAAAUAUAAAAAAAAAGGAUUAUAUAAAUGAACAAAAAGCACAUGGAAUUUUUUUUUCAAAAAAAAAAAAGCACAUGGGAACAAGCCAAGAGAUGGGUUUUGGAACAUCGAUAACAUUUACAGUAAAUUUAAAUGAUUUACCACGUCUCACAAGCAUUAUUAACUAAUGGUUGUAAAGUGUAAUCAAUGUUCAAAAACGUUUAAGUGCCAAAGAACCAGAUUAUUUUUGAAAAUUUAGCCUUUAAAAAUAUCCUACUAUAUAAAAGAAGCUAAAUCCUAGCUUUUCUAGAGGUGUCACAUGGGCAAAAUAAUCUCCACCUAUCAAACUGCUAUGUCACUAGUGGACUGGACUUCGAAUUAAAAUUGCAAUAAAAGAUUUGGGCUUCGUUGUCGCUAACAAAAAUCUCGGUUUGUCUACGAUUUGCCGAUGGGCCAGGUAAAGAAAAAUCUCGCAGCCCAGCCCAUUAACCCAAAUCGCCGUCUUCGUAAAACUAUUUCCUUCGGACAAUUACUUAUUUCAACUGUCAAACUAUUUUCUUUUGAAUUUUCUAUUUUUUCAGACAAUUUAUUAUUUCUACUGUUUUUUUUAACAAUGUGUGAACCGGCUAAGUUUCCUUUCAUCUUAAAAUUGUCCACCCAAGAUAACACAACCCCCUCAUUUCACACACAGUCACUAUAAAUUUCUAAAAAAAACCUAAAUUCUACUAUCAAACCCACCCAACAAAUUUAUAACUACCAGUUCCAAUUACUCAUGUUUCGACCUCAGUCAAAUAAUUAUGGGCCGGCCUACUUUAAUUUUUAAAUAACCUGUCAAUAAAAUCUCCACCUAUCAAACUGCCAUGUCACUAGUGGACUGGGCUUCGAAUUAAAAUUGCAAUAAAAGAUUUGGGCUUCGUUGUCGCUAACAAAAAUCUCGGUUUGUCUACGAUUUGCCGAUGGGCCAGGUAAAGAAAAAUCUCGCAGCCCAGCCCAUUAACCCAAAUCGCCGUCUUCGUAAAACUAUUUCCUUCGGACAAUUACUUAUUUCAACUGUCAAACUAUUUUCUUUUGAAUUUUCUAUUUUUUCAGACAAUUUAUUAUUUCUACUGUUUUUUUAACAAUGUGUGAACCGGCUAAGUUUCCUUUCAUCUUAAAAUUGUCCGCCCAAGAUAACACAACCCCCUCAUUUCACACACAGUCACUAUAAAUUUCUAAAAAAAACCUAAAUUCUACUAUCAAACCCACCCAACAAAUUUAUAACUACCAGUUCCAAUUACUCAUGCUUCGACCUCAGUCAAAUAAUUAUGGGCCGGCCUACUUUAAUUUUUAAAUAACUUGUCAAUAAUUUUUUUUUUUUUUAAAAACAAACCAUAACUAUGUUCACUUCAAAAAAUAUGAAAUUAAUAAAAGAUUGGCAAUACAAAAUAAUUCUCAUUCUUAUCUGUGCAGAACAUGCAGCAGAAGAUCAAAACAAUUGGGGCGACACCUUCGGACCGCAUCCAAUAAUCGUUAGGAUCAUUAGGAUGUGGUCCAUCACAAAUCACAAAAAUAAAAAUGCUUUCCUAGGAACAACUUUCAUUUGUCUUGACAUCUAAAUUUGUCUUAAAAAUACUUACUUUUAAUUAUUCCAACUACAUUUCAAAUGAUGGCUUUUAACCACUAAAAAGGAACAAAUAAUGAAAGGGAGGGUGUCUAUUUCUAUGUCUUACACAAUCUACCAACGCUUCGAAGAAGGGAAAAUUUAUCACAUUAGAUAUUUUAAUCUUCUUCCCAAUAACCAACGGUACAUGCUUACUGUUCAACCAUACAUAAUCAAUAUCAAUGAGACAACAAUUAUUACACUGAUUCAAGAAAACAUUCCACCGAUCCCUUCAUACAUAUUCCUGCCCCAACGUUACCACCAGUUGAUCAGCUUAGCAAAUGCAACCAACUUCCUCCCAGGUAAAAAAAAUCAAUAACUCUCUCACAUACAAAUAAAUACUAAAUUUUUGUCCAUAAAACCAAAUUAUUCCUACAGAUAUUGUUGGCCGCAUAUGCCUCAUCCAAGAAAAUGAUUUAUAUAACCACUACACAGAUUCAAAAAUCAUCAUUGGAUUGCGUUUAGAUAGGUACUAACUUUUUAUUAAAUAACAAUUAGUUUACAACCAAACAAAAUAUAAUACAAUAAUUAUUUGUAGAUCAAAAUUGGUACGUCUAACUUUAUGGGACAAGGAGGCGUCUAAUUUGUACCAGGAAAAACAAAUCGUAAUCAUCACAAGUAUCAUUCCACGGUUACAUGAAGGUAGUAAACUAAACAUAAAGUUUAUGUCAAAAUAAAUGCUUACAAAUAUUUGACUUUUUCAGGAAAACUAUCACUCACAACCACACCUGGAUCGCGCUUCUACUUUGACAACGAUAUUGGUAUCAUACAACACUUCCAAAAGAGGAAUAAACUACUAUCCUAAGCCUCAUAGCAAACGACACCGGCCAACUUUUAAGAAAUUUACGUUACCGCUUCCUACGUCCAUUAAAUAGGCACACUCAAAUACUAUUUUCUCUUACGAAUAUUGAAUUCCUCAAAACAAUUUAUUAUUCAAACUUACUGUUGUUUUAAAAAAAAAAAAAUUGAUCACCGUUUUCAACGUCUUCGCAUUAUAAAAUAAACAAAACAUAACUUAACUUUUCAGAAACUUCAAAACUCCCAAUUUUAAUUGAACUAGACUUUUAUUAAACAUGUAAUCCGCGCGAAGCGCGGACACUGACCCUAGUUCUUAUAAAAUUACAUUCAUGUCCACUUAUUGUAAAUUACAAUAUUUAUAAAAAAAGUUUCUGUGACUAGAAUUUAUAAGCAAUUUGUAUUAAUGUCUGUAGGAAAAAAAAUCUCAAAGGACGAGGAGAUAAAGAGGGAACAAAGAUCCCAUGGAGUGCGGUAAAUUGGAGUGACAAAAAGUCUGUGUCCUUUUGGACUCAAAUAUAACAUUCACUUGCUCUCACGUUGCUCCAAAACCGCGUCCAAUCCAUUUUUCUCCAACUUGACUUCUAACUCUCUUUUUUUUUUCUCUUCUAAUUCUUUUUCCCUCUUCUUUUUAUUUAGUUUACAAAAUGUAAUACAUAAAUUUGGAUCUGAGUAGAGACACAACAUACAACAUGUUAUGUAACUAUUUAAUUUCUAAUUUUAGGGUUUAUAGUUAUCUGACAUCAUAAAUAUACACAUUUGAAUCCAAGAAAAGACACAACAGCAUCACUUAACUAUAUGUCCUCUUAGUGUUAAGUUUAAAUCCAUUGAUUAGAGUUUAUAAUAUGAUUAGCCAUUUGUACUAAUGUUAACAUUGUAUUAUAAAUAAAUGUUAAAAUUCAGUUGUGUAUGUGUGCAUGUGUCAGAGUUCUAGAAAACAAACAAAGUUUUCCAACAAUUAGCAACAUUCAAACCAUAUUACUGAAAGAUUCAUUAAGAGACAUUAUUAUUUACAACUUGUGAUUUUAUGUUUAUCAUCUCCGCUAGAAUUGGAAAGGAGAGGACGAUAACAUAAUGCUGAGAAAAACAUAUACGAUGAUUUUUUUUUGUGAGAUUUUUUUUUCUUAUUCCGACAUAAUACACAAAUGGCAAACAGAGUUGAUACUAGUAUAUCCUUUUGUAAUUAUUUUUUUUUUUCAGUUUUCGAAAUAAAAAUUUGGAAAUUUUGUCAACAUAGAUUAGAUUCUCUUGUACUAAUAAGAACAUAAAAAUGUACAGAUAACUCCAAAAGAUACUGCAUGUGUGUAUGCAAGCUGAGGAACAACGCCUCUGAAACCUCCAAAGUCCAUGUUGAAUCACUUCAUCUAUUAUCAUAAAAUAAUAUAUGUAUAUAUAUAUAUGACUAUGUUUCUAUAUGCUUUAAAUUACAUAUGUUCUUUAGAAUAUUGGUUUUGUUGUGACCUUUUGUUGAGGAUUCAAUGGACCCUCCAUAUUUGCAUGUGACUGAGUGUGGAAUGGGACGAGAGAAUGGCGGUCACUGAUAUGGAUGUCACCUUACUAUGCCGCAUUUAUCUACUAAACUAAAUUAUUUAUAUAAAUAACCUGUUUGCAAAUUUUCUUCUUGCAAUUAAAAUUAGUAUUAAGUACGUUCUAACUUACAAUUAUUAUACUAUUAUAAAUCAUGAAAAUGUUAUCUAACACUUAAAUCAAUCCAAUACAUGCAUGUAUUUAUUACUCAUCUAAAAACUAUCUGAUGAUUCUUAUGCUAACAAAGUCCCAUUUCUAAAUAUGGAAAACCACUAUAUCUAAAUGCACGACCGGUUCUCUGAUUUUAGUGAACAAAUAAAUAAAAUGUAGAGGGGUUAUGCGCACAAAAAACGGGUUCAAAAUUUCAAAUUACCUCUUCUCUUUCAUCAUUUAGUAAAUAUAACAUACUUUGAAAGUAUCAUAUGUAUGGCCUUCGCCACUAAAGAGAUAUAGAGUGCACAUGUAUCCAUACCAUUUUUAAAAGUAUAUAUAUUUUUACCAAAUUUUAAUAUUUUCCUAUUGUAAUUUGUAAGUUUAUACUGUAUUAUAAUAUGUGCACCUAGUCAAAAAAAUUCUGGAUUCGCUUAUUACAGCUGAAUGCAGAAAAGGACAUGAAUCGCAAUCAACCCAUUUCAUCACCCAUGUUUAUACAUGUCGUAGUAGGUCCCAUGUCACGCGUUUACGUUCUAGGUCCACUUAUUUUAUUCAUAAUACUUGUCUGAUUUUCCCAUAACUGUAUGUAGUCCCAAGCAACCUAUUGUGUAUGUUGAACUUUCUCUUUUUUCUCCAAUAUCGACAAAACCAAAUUAAGAUAUGUAAUAUGAUUCACCAAACAAAUUAUGACCCUCUAUUCUAUAAAAACAAAAAACCAUACACAUUUAAUAAUGACAUGUAAAUCAUGUAAUUGUUGGUUCAUAAUUCAUAAUGUUUUGCUUAAUAAAAGGUUCAUAUGCCACGAAAACUUGCAUAUUUAAAUUAUCAAACAUGAAAUUUUAUAAAGAUCUAUUUACAUCAGGUAACUUUUGAAUUUGUUACCUAGAAUCUAUGUGAAGGAACCUUAUUUAAUCAUGAGUUUUUCAUGCCAUGCGAGAAAUAAAGUUUGAUUUUACGCUCUUUUCAGAAGUAUGGAGCUUUUACAAAGAUAGCCACACUACUCAAACGUUCCAAACACAGUAGCAAGGAGAAAAUUAGGAAUGCAACUUAUACAAAAACAGUAUUUGUUAGAUCUUCCCAUUCCCACUCCCACAUGCUUCAUUGUUUGAUCUACCUAUACAAUCAAACCACAUCUCACAUGAAGAAUCAGUUAGCAAACAAAAUUAUAUUAGAUCUAAUAAAAUUGUUUUGUGACUAGUUACAGCAGUUCUAAUGUUAUAGCUUCAAAGGUGAUUAACUACUUUCAAAGGUAACAUAUAUACCAACUAAUUAAUUAUUUCGGUUAAAAUUAUUAAUUACUAGGGUUAAAAUGAUUAAUUAUUUAUUAAUAAAAGUAAUUGACCUUAUAAUUAUAGUGGUUUUUCUUGAAGUCAUAAUUGCGGUCUAAACAAACAUUUUCCAUCAAUAAUGUUGGCACUUGUCAUUUCGAUGGAUCCAUUCUAACAGCAUACUCUUUUGCCCAACAUAUAUAUCUAUCACUUUUUAUUCCAAUUACUAUUGACUCUAAAAUGGAUACGUUGUCUAAAUUGGAAUAUAAGUUUUAAAACACUAGCGACUCAGCAUAUUAUAUAUAUAUAUAUAUAUACAUAUAUAUAUAUUGUAUUUUCUUAUUUGAUGAGCCAUCUAAUUUUGUUUUAUCUAUAGAACAAAAUAUAAAAUUGACCCAAAAACAUCCGUAUAUAGGAGAAUCCAUAGACGAAGUCUGAAUGUGACAUUCCCCUCUACAAAGAGUGUCAUUAUAUCGUAUAUAAUCAUAUUAUUAUUAUUAUUCCUUUUCCUCUUAGACUAUCAUCUAGUAAACUGUAUAGUCAGGAAUUAUGGGUAUGAUCAUAAAAAAUUAAUAAAAUAUAUAGCAUUCGAAGAUUGUUUUGGUGUUUGAUUGAGUCAUUAUCGGAGCCUCACAUGGGCGAAGAAUGAUGGUGAACGAGUCUCGCUAGUCAUCAAACUUCAUAUUUUCCAAUUAUUAUUAUUACUAGGUCCUUGUCCGCGCUACGCGCGGAUAGUAUUUUGUUUUUUUUUUCAUAUUUUUGUACUAUUAUGUCAAUUGUUUAGUUUUAUAAAAUGUUAUGUUUUUAUUGUAAAUUUGGAAUUAAAAAUCUAGUUUUUCCUUACUGUAAAGUAAGUUAAUUUUUUUGAAUCUUACCACAACACAUUAUACAUAAAGAGAAUAUAGUUGGUCUUUAUAUUCUUAUUUGGUGUAAUAUUGAAAAUUUUGAUGGUUUUUUUAAAUUAUAUAUAUUAGGAUUGAUUUUCGUGACUAUAUUCUAUAAUUGUCUAAAAAAAUUGUUUGUCCUAUAUAGACAUCCACAUAAAUAUGGACUUCUGAUAAAUUUGUUCAUUGAGAUAUUUAGUUUCACUUUUAACUUUAUUCUCUUUUUUGACAUCCUCAUGCUAGCUUGUGGGGCUAGCCAACUUGGUGCAAAAGGGUUUACAAAAGCUGAUUGAGAUGCGCGUGAUCGGACACCUUUUGCUAGGCUAUUCAUACGGAAUUUUAAAGCUCUAGGAAUAUAAGCAAUAGAAAGUUCAGAAAAUUCUUUAGAUACAGCCUGUAUUUCGUUGAGCUCCGAGUCCAACACAGGCCAAUCUUUCUCCUUUUGAAUAAGCAUAACCAGUUGUUCACAGUCGAUUGAAAGACCAUCUCUCUGUGUCUAAACUUCAGUAUCACUUGCAUUGCCCAUAGCAAACCUUCAACUUCCGCUUACAGUGGUGAUUUGGUGCGUGUAUAUCGGUCCUUACUCCAAACAGCAUUGGAAAGUCACCAUCCAUUAACACAAAGCCAAGUCAAGAUAUGUCUCUUUCAUUUAUCCAGGAUGUCUAGCAGGAGCGUUUCUUUGCGAAAGAACAGUUGUGUCCGUUACCUCAACUCCCAUGUCAAUCUCCAUAAUCUUGUCUACACGUUGAGUUAUCCUCCAACACUAUGCUUCAAUUUUAUUCGCUAAUGGGAAAAACAUAAUUCCUACGACACUAUUAAUGAUUAUUUUUUUGUUAGACCGAUACGGCAAACUUAUGUUUUAUUUAACAAAACUCUUAUUUUAAUUUUGUAUUAAAGAAUCAAUUAUAUUUUAUAUUAUCCAUAAUUUUAGUAAAUUUACUUAUUUGUCAUGUUUUUAUUAGGUUUUCGCUAAAUCACUAAUUUAUUAUUUAUUUUUAGCUAAGUCACUAAUUUAUUAAUUUAAAAAUACCCUUAAUUAAUAUUAUAUAUAUAUAUAUUAAAAAUGAAUUUUUUAUUAGUAAUAUUAAAUUUCUAUUUUAUAUUAAAAUUUAGUUAGUUAUUCUUAUUUGUCAUAUUUUAUUAGGUUUUAGACUUUUAGAUAGGUUAUUGAUUUAUUAUUAAUUUCUAACUGAUUCGCUAAUGUGUUAAUUAAAAGAAUACCCUUAAUGAAUUUUAUAUAUAAUUAAAAACGAAUUUUAUUUUAAUCAUAUAAAAUUUAUAUGUUAUAUUAAUAUUAAAUAAAUGAUUUUAAAAUAAUAUAAUAAAAUUAUCAAAAAAAUUUAAAAUAAGAUAAUUCUUAUUUAUAUUUUGUAGCUAUCUGAAAACAAUAAUUUUAUUAUAAAAGUUAAAAAGAUACAAAAAAUUAUAAUUAAAUAUUAUUCAAGAAAAAAACAUUUAUAUAAAGAUAUUUUCUAAACUAUUUCUAAGAUAUGAGUGUUUUAAAAAAUUUAACACGGGAUGUUUAGAACACAGGAUUAUGCUUAUGAGAGAGUGGCUCGGGAAUGGGCUUCGAGAUGGGUCGUCAUGAGAGAAAGGUAAAUGGGGGAGACGGCGAUUAGGUUAUUCAGAGGAUGAGAAAGCUGUGUGCGCUUUGGCUUGAGUCUCAACAAUACGUAGAUUAGGGUUAAUGGACUGGGCUGGGAUAAAGUGAAUUAUCAGAUUGAUGGGAUUAAUGGGCUGGGCUGGGUGAAAGUGAAUUAUCUGAGUUUGGCUUCACUUCGGCUGAUGGCGCAAAACAAAAAUACGGAGUCGGAGAAUGAGUUAGCGCACAGGAAGCCCGAUCGUGAUUUUAAUUUGAAGCCUAAUCUGGCAGUGACGUGGCAAUUUGAUUGGCCCUGAUUAUUUUGAGCAUGUGGCUAGCUUUAGGAAGCUUAAAAAUAGUCCCUUUUAUAUAGUGGGAAAUCAUAUAAAAUUUUUAUGUUAUAUUAAUAUUAAAUAAAUGAUUUUAAAAUAAUAUAAUAAAUUAUCCAAAAAUUUUAAAAUAAGAUAAUUCUUAUUUAUAUUUUGUAGCUAUCUGAAAACAAUAAUUUUAUUAUAAAAGUUAAAAAGAUACAAAAAAUUAUAAUUAAAUAUUAUUCAAGAAAAAAACAUUUAUAUAAAGAUAUUUUCUAAACUAUUUCUAAGAUAUGAGUGUUUUAAAAAAUUUAACACGGGAUGUUUAGAACACGGGAUUAUGCUUAUGAGAGAGUGGCUCGGGAAUGGGCUUCGAGAUGGGUCGUCAUGAGAGAAAGGUAAAUGGGGGAGACGGCGAUUAGGUUAUUCAGAGGAUGAGAAAGCUGUGUGCGCUUUGGCUUGAGUCUCAACAAUACGUAGAUUAGGGUUAAUGGGCUGGGCUGGGAUAAAGUGAAUUAUCAGAUUGAUGGGAUUAAUGGGCUGGGCUGGGUGAAAGUGAAUUAUCUGAGUUUGGCUUCACUUCGGCUGAUGGCGCAAAACAAAAAUACGGAGUCGGAGAAUGAGUUAGCGCACAGGAAGCCCGAUCGUGAUUUUAAUUUGAAGCCUAAUCUGGCAGUGACGUGGCAAUUUGAUUGGCCCUGAUUAUUUUGAGCAUGUGGCUAGCUUUAGGAAGCUUAAAAAUAGUCCCUUUUAUAUAGUGGGAUUUGUUAGUUGGGGAAAAUCUAAAAUUACUUGGCAUUAUCUAGAUACACAUACAUGUUGUGAUGAUCAAUCAGACCCAUGUGAAAAUGGAUACAGUGGGUUUGAAGUUUCACCCCAGCCAAAAUGUCUUUUGAUCCAACUUGUUCACCAUUGGAAAGAUAAAGGAAACCUACACAUUUUUUUUGUAACAAAAGGGACCUAUACAUAUAUCAGCGAAAUUAUUAGUCUAAAAGAAAAUAGAAUUUUAGAAUCUGAAUCGUUUUCUUAUGAAACUAGUCCUGUAAGUAACCAAAAUCAUGUACAUAAGUUUUGAUAAAUUUGUUUGUGGAUAAGUCUUAUUCUCUCUUGAAUGAAAUUACAAUUGAUACUUUCCAAAAACUAUUCUCCUGCAUUCAGCUUAAACAUGUGGUGUCUAAGCUUUUAAUAUUCACUAAAUCUCUAAAAUAUGUGGGACUACUAGAUAAUACAUUUGCCCAUGUCUUGGCAAUUUCGAAUACAACAAAUGAGUCAAACAUAAAAUCCAAAGAAAUUUUCUGGGUCUUAUUGGUAACGGUGUGGGUCCCUUUAGGACCAAAUUGAUUGCCAGUUAAUUUGUAAAAUAAAUUUGUUACACAACAAAACACAUCUCUCAUGAAGCCAACAGUACUUAUAGCCACCCUUCACUCUUCCAAAACGCUCCUUCACUUCUAUCAUCACUUUCCUCCUUUACAUUCCCCACAAACACUUUGAUAGACUCACCUGAACCCCAGUAUUCUAAUGGCACGACCACAACAACGGUUCCGAGGCGUGAGACAGAGACAUUGGGGCUCUUGGGUCUCUGAAAUUCGCCACCCUCUCUUGUAAGUCUUUUACCAUAAUACCCGUGUUUUCAUUUUUUUAAUAUCAAGAAGUUAUGCUGAUUCUUGUUUUUUUUAUUUUGUUUCAGGAAAACAAGAAUCUGGCUCGGGACUUUUGAGACUGCGGAGGAUGCGGCAAGAGCCUACGACGAGGCAGCUAGGCUAAUGUGUGGCAAUAGAGCUCGUACCAACUUCCCUUACAACCCAAACGCCAUUCCUUCUUCCUCUUCUAAGCUACUCUCCGCCACUCUCACCGCUAAACUCCACAAAUGCUACAUGGCUUCUCUUCAGCUGACCAAACGGACGCAAACGCAGACGCAAACACAAAUGCAGAACGCUAGAUAUGACGGCGUCAUGAAUGUGACCUCUGACGGUAAUCAGUACAACAGAGGAGGAGUAACGGAGAUCAAGUGGGAAGACGGAGACGUGGAUAUGCAACAUAAUCUCAGGCCACUGGAGGAAGAUGAUAUCGAGCAAAUGAUCGAGGAGCUGCUUCACUACGGUUCCAUUGAGCUCCGCUCUGUUUUACCUACUCAGUCGCUGUGAUAAACGGCUUUAUUAGGGUCAUUCUAUUAAUUUUUAUUUUAUUACAUUUUCCUUCAACGGCGUCGUUAUGAGAGUAGCAGUGACAGUUCAAGACAUUUUGAUCUGAAUUGGCCUCUUUUGAAACGCUCAUUCUUGUUUCUACAAGAGCAAUCGAUCAUAUGCUAUGUAAUGUAUAGUAUUUUUAUGAUAUGAAAACGUUAUCAAUUUUUUUGCAUCAGAUUCUCCAUGUAAACCAAUUGAGAAAAAAAAAACAGAAAUCAUGAGAAUUAUGUUUUGAGUUCGUGUGUGAAUAAGUGGGGAUUUUAUGUAGUGAAAAAGAUGCAACAUUUGGAUGAAAUAUAUCAUAAGAAGAGAGUUUGGAAGGGUUUGAUUCUUUUUUUAGUUUGCUGUUUUUCAUGCAUGUUUUCAUUUUUCAACGGUGGGACUUAUUUUUCUUUCCUUUAAAAAUUCUAUUUCUCACUCUUUUGAUUUUUUUUUCUUUUAAAUUUGGGAUUGCUGCCAAGUAGAAAAGAGUGUCCCUAACACCACCAUCAAAAAUCUAACUUUUAAAUUAGAGAGAUUUGUAUGUUUCUAGCACUUUUACGUUGGUCAGCCAUACGACUAAUCAAAAGCAAUAGAAACCUGACCUAAAAGAACAUAUUCGACUCAAAACCAAAAUUAAAACCAGACCUUUGGACUGACACAAAGAGUCGGCUCCAGGGAUUUUGGGAGUAUGUGACUGUUUCUAUGUAAUUUUUUUUUUUUUGCAAAUUUGAAAAUCUAAAAUUUUUUGUAAAGCUUAUUUAUAUGUAAUUUUUUUCAAAAAAUUUAGGGAUUUAUUGCAAAUGUUUUAUCUAACAUGGCCUAGAACCGGCCCUGUCGACACAUCUUAAAUUAAACUAUGUUCUUUGAUUUGUGACAUAAGGGUUUUGUUGUUUAAUCAACGUUUUGAAAUAUUUUGUUUGGUUUAACACAAAUAAAGUUAUUUUCUUCUUGCUGAUUUUUAAAAUGUGCAACCGCAAUCACUCUCUAUACAUAACGUUUGACGGAUACGGUGAAACAAUUAUAACCACACUACUACACCAUAUCUUCUAAACAAUUUAAUACUGCAAGUCUGCAUCACAGUAAAAGAUUAAUUGCAACGCAGUUACUAUAAUUCGGUAGCAUCUCCACUCCGAUCGAUCGUUUCUUCUUGCAAGCAUGUACACGUUUUUAUCAGUUGUUAGGAACAUAUAUAAUUGAAUUUAAGUGAAUGAUAAUUCAGUAUGGUUAGUUGGCCCGUUACGACAUAAUUAUAAACCAGUAAACAUGCAAUGCAUCUAAAUUGCAGCACAUAAAUGAUUUGACGUUCGGAAUUAUAUGGAUGCAAAAAGAUUUCUUGUCCCCUUUAUUUGCAUGCUGUAGAUAUUAAACUAUAAAUCUAUAUCAUUCUGAAAAUAGAUAGAAGUAAAUUACGCAAGCUAUGCAUAUACAAUAUCGUAUAACUUAUGAUGAUGAUGAUAUAAAUAAUCAGGGUAAACUAUGAUUUGAACAGCUUUUGGCUUUGAUUUGAUGAGACUUUCUUAUCAUCUUUGGUAUGCUGCUGAUCAUUUUUACAAUAAAUAACACUCCUUUGAUUUGUAAAUAAAUUUACCAUUAUACCACAUAAUUGUAUGUUUAUCUAACUAAGAAAACUGAUGGAAGAUUUUUAAAAAGUCUUCGAAGAUGUGACAAAAGCCUAUAGUUUAUAAGGUUGACAAAAGGGACAUAAACGCUAUAAUAACUCAAUUUUAACUUAUAAGCUCAUAUAAAUUCUACAAUGGUUUGUCAAAAGCAAUUAUAAGACUUCUUUAAAAUCUAAUGAGAUGUUCCAAAUUAUUUUGCUCGGAGUUCUGUACAGUAGGCUAGCAACCGAUUUCAAUUGAUUUGGUAACAACUAAAAUACUGCCUACGUGACAAUUAUUUAGCCACUAUAUAUACUCUCAUAGAUCCACUAACAAAGAUAAAAAGAAGAAAAUAACCAUGUUAUAUGUGACAAAAUUUGUCAAACAAUAGUACUGAGAUAGAUUAGUUUCUCAACGUGAUGCUAUUGUUUUUUGGAUCGAGGUCUUUAUCGAAUGGAACUUAUAAUGAUUAUAACACCUGUUUGGAAAUUGAUUUUGUUUCCCCCACAACCUUUUGAGAAAGGUAAAUUAAUUAAUAAAUAAAUAAUGAAAAAAAUAGGAGGGAAUUACAAAAGUGUAGUUUAUUCCAAUUAUUAUGUUUUGUUAAAGCAUUUUAUAGCAGUAAAGGUGAGAUUUAAAAUAAUGGGCAUGCUUGUGAGUUGAUCAUCAUUACUUCUUUGAACUUCUGUGACCCUUUUUCCUUUGAGGAAUGUCCUUUUCUAUUGUCCCAAUAAAAAUUUCACUGCACUCACCAAAUAAAGAAUGAAUAGGUAUUCAUAUUCAUAUGAAAAUGUGUUUUUUUCCAUUCUUGUUAUAUGAUACUAGUUAUAUGUCGUCUCGUACUAGUGCAUGGAAAUGUAUUUCGUUCACCCAAAUUUAAACAGAAGUAUUGCAUACAAGACCGAUCCUGGCCAUAACAAUUCAAAACAUUCGUUUCAGCCCCUAAAAUGCAAACUAACAUGUAUCACUUGACCCUCCAAAUUAGUUAAGAAAACUAUAAACAUAGAUUAUUUAAGGGGUAUUUCAAGUCCUAUAAAUCUAAGGCCGGUUCUGUAAUAUACUAAUAUGUAUGGAUUCUAGUAUCGUCCUUAUUACUAAAACAUUGUUAUUAUUAGAACAAACCCGGUUGGACAUGAAGAUAUUAUCAAGUUGAUUAUCUACCUAAUAUUGUAAAAUCUUCACAAAACCAUUUUGUAUCCUUUCAUAGACCACAUGGCAAUCAUUCUCAGUGAGUGUUUCAGUGGAGGUGAAACAUUAUGUAAGGCUGAUUGGUUAUCACAGAGAAGAGUGGAUGCAGUUGAUGGAGGACGAUGAAGAUCAUGAAGUACAAAGAUGUCAGCCAAACUAACUCACAUGUAGUAUCAGCCAUAGUGCGAUAUUCUACUUCUGAACUGCUACGACAUUAUUAGUUGUUUCCUGAAAAAUCAAGAGAUGAGUGAAUCACCAAGAAACACACAAUAUCCGUACCAAAUUUUAGCAAAAAAAAAACACACAAUAUCCGGUAGUAGAAAAACGAGAAUCCGGAUAAGCAACCCAGUUUAGAUCAGAGAAAGCAGUAAGAUGGAGAUAAGGUGAAGUAGAGUAAAAUAAACCUUCGCAUGGAUCAUUCUUCAGAUAUAAUCUUAUUAGCUGAACAGUGUGUGGAGCAAACAUGUAUUGACGCAAACUAUGCACAUCAUAAUUAAGUGAUAUCAAGUUGGGUAUGCGUCAAAUACAAAAGUCUGCGAUACCCGUGAACACCGAAGAAUCCUCAAGUGGAACACAAUCAUCAGAAGAUAUCUUGAGAUUAAGUUCCAUAGGUACUAAAAGAGGCUUGCAGCCUAGUAAACCAUCAUCCAAGAAGUUCUAAAGUAUAUUUCCCAAUACCAAUGUUGUUGCGUGUAUUCUCAAACCCAAAAAAAAAAAGUAAUUUGCUGGACCAAUGUCUCAAAGUUUAAAUGCAGAUUUGAGAUUGGACUUGAACUCGUUAAUAGCAGAAUUGUCAUUUCCUACUAGCAAUAUUACUUGAGAUAUUUGAUAGAAACAAGAGAGAUUAUUAAGUUUAGACAUGUUUAGUUGAUUAUAUGAUCUUUGUAAACAUUGAAAACAAGUCUCUGGGCCUUGGGGCCCAACUCAAAGAGGCUACUUUCUCCCACAUUCCCGGCCCACUUCCCUUGCCGUUUAGUUUUUUUUUUUCCGCUGGUGGGCGUCUUAUUUAAGUAGCCAAAUGAUUUGAUCAGUGAAACUGAUUCUACUUAUUUUGGUUAUGUGUAGGGCAAGUGUGAGUGAGAUUGCAUCAAAGAAAGAUUUGGGGCCAAAACGAUAACAAACAAGAAGAUGAUUUUCGAAUGGCUUGUCAGGUUUUGUUACAUUACAUGUUUUGGAUGUGCGAUCGUCCACUUGUGCUCUUCUUGGAUUUAUCCAUGGAACUGUAUGAGUUUGGUUCGUUCUGACUAUAUAUAUUUGUUUCUUUAUCUCUGUGAAUACAAACAAGCAUAUCUUCUUCCUGCCACUAAAUUGUUUACUAGUGGUGGAAAAAGACAUGAUUAGAGACUUACUUGAUUCAAUUAUCUUCGACCAAUUUUAGAAAAAACACGUGAAGUCGUUGGUGAUGAAAGCAAUAUGUGUCGUUUUUUUUUGGUAAUGCUUUCUGAACAUAUGAAAUAUGAGAUGGCCUUUUAUUAAGUUAUCCAUGCUUAAGAAAACCCACGAAGAUAAUCCAAUCUAUUGGUGCCGUUCUUUAUAUUACAUGCAAUUUCAGGAAAAUACACAAUGUUGGAGUCAGUACUUAAGCAUUACACUUGCCUCUUUUAAAAUGUAUAGUUCUUUCACCCCUUUAGAUAGUCGCUUGCUUUUGCUAAUGUGUCACCUUUUAUGCAAAAUUAAUUUGCUUGUGUGUCUGUGUGUGUGUGGCGUGCACGGACUCGUUUAGUAAUUAUCCUCGAGGGCCAAAAAAAGAAAGGUCAUUCGUUGUCAUAGUUUACACCACUUUGGGGUCUAACAAAGAGAAGCAUUGGAUGCUUUAGUGAUAAUAUGUUUCAGUUCAUUCAAAAAAAAAGUUUCAGUUUUCUUCUAUAGUACUCUUUGCUUUUAGUGUCACAAUCAUCCUACGCAGCAACUAUCUUCUUUUUAUUACAUAUGUUUGGUUCUGUUCGAGUGUCUUCGUAGCAACUUUUAAGUAAAUAGAAUGAUUGUUCUAACUUUUAGGUAAACCAACUUUGACAUUAUAAUAUUAUUUCCUUUUUCUUGUCAAAUAGAACCAAAUCUUCCCUCAGAUCUCAAUGUCUUCUAUUUUCCUUUACUCUAUACACAUUUCUUUUCCAAUUCUAGGAAUUAGAUUAAAUAUGCAGCAUAUGCUUUACACUGUUGCUGUGUGUCUACAUGAAAUCCACUAUGUAUGUAUAGUCGAAAAAUCCAAGACUAAGUAGAUACGUGAAAAGAUGUACAUUAGAUAUUUUUAUUAGACAGGAACAUAUACACAUAAGAGUGUUAAUUGAUAACAAUCAAUGAAAACACAUUAAAAGAUACUACUAAAUGCAAGAAUCAAGAAAAAGACAUUUAAAGCUUGAGGGAUAAGUCAAGAUUCUGUUUCUCUUCCUGAAUUGUGCUAAACAACCCUUCGUCUCCUUGCCAUUGUUCAAGAGUCAGUGACCCUACUAGAUUCCUUCCUAUGUUGCUCGAUGAUCUAGCCAUGUUAUUGGACCGUGUAGUUACUGAAGGAUCCAUCAUCAUCAUCAUCUGAUGAUGAUGCUGAUGAUGAUUAUGAAAAUGAUCCACUGAAGAAAGUUUACCUAUUGCUGGUUGUUGAUCAAGUGGUAGUCUUGACCAGUUGAUAUGACCAUAAUGAUCACCAAACCCGUUAUAUGAACUUAUAUUGUGGCUCAUCGAGUGCGCUUGAAUUUCCAAAGACCUGUUAUUGUAUUGUCCAUGGAAAGAAACUGGAGAGAAACCGUAAGGAUGUCCAAAAGCCGAAGCUGAUGCUCCCAUUCGUUGCGCUCUCUUUGCCAACGUCCUCUCUCUCUUGUGUGCGUUUUGGUGACCACCAAGUGCUUGUGAGCUAUAGAAAGAUCUUUGACAGUAGUUGCAUGAGAAUAGUUUGUGUUCCGUGGGUGUAAUCGACCCGUUAUAACUCUGGUUAACAUCGAUACUCGUGUCUAUGCAGUCGAGGAGAUUGAGUUCUUGAGUAGAAUCGUUAACGUCUGCUUCUUCAUCCUUAAAACUCUGUUCUUGCCUCUGGUUUAGAGAAUCUUGACAUGGAAAAGCUGUGGAGGAAGCCAUGCAAGAGGGAUCUGAAGGCAGUUGCUUCUCCCUAGAAAUGUUCAUGAGGGCUAAAAAGAGAACAUAUUAUUUUUUCUUUUCCAAGUGAUGAUUUCUUCCCUCUCUCUCUUUCUAUUAUUAAUAGCUAUGAAAGAAGCUUUUAUCUGUAAACAGAAGCAGAAGUAGAUGGUAUUAGAAAGGAAUAGACAAAGAAAAUAAUGCCCUAAUAGUAAAACAUUUUCUUAGAUAUUUUUGUAAUAACAAGUAUUGGACCAAAGUACUAUGGAGAUGAGAGCGAUAGGUCGGUUUGGUUUGCUAUCACACACUUUUCACAAAACACUUAAAAGCUAAGCUUAUUGGAACUCCACCAUCUACAUUUAUACCUUAUAUAUAUACGUUAAUAACCCAACCAGGUCAUCAGGUUAGGGCAACCCCUUUAGUCCUUGGCCAUGAUCAAUAAGUUGAAACUGGUAAGUUGGUGUAUGUGCAGUAUUUUCUUUAAGUGGAUUACAAACGACAACUGAAAAAAUGAAGCAGUACUGAAAACAGUUAUGAAGCUAGUACAUCUGAUGAAAUGACAGGAGAGGAAAAUGACAAUAAAUUUUAAAGGAUUGAUGUCCAAAAGAAAAUAUAUAUGUACUGGAAAUGGACCAUCUAAAUUAUUUUCAGGUCAGUUUAUGAAUACUUUAUGUAACUCCACGUGGUAAGUGGCCACUUCUGUCCCCUCUAGCUUCUCUUGUUGGUCUUUCCUUCAAUCGUUUUUUCUUCUGUUCUUUUAUACUCUCUAUUAAGAGGCCAGACCGUAGAUCAAACUGGAUAUAGCGUUAUUCGGAUUUAGUUAAGCAAGUGUAUGCCCCUCACCCUGGAUAUAGCGUUAUUCGGAUUACAGAGUAUAUAGCGUUAUUCGGAUUUAGUUAAGCAAGUGUAUGCCCCUCACCCUGGAUAUUUUGCUAUCAUUACUUUUUGACAUUUUAUAAUUAGUUGUGUUUAGUAAAAAAUCAUCCAGGGAGAUCUACACCAAUAUACUAUAUAUUAUCUUGUAAACCACUCACAAAUAACAUGGGUGAUAAUCGGUUUGAAAAUCUCUUUAUUUGAUUAAUGAUAAUCUUGGGCAGAUCUGUUUCAAUAUUAUGUAUCUUAGUGAGAUACUUUAACUAGAACUAUAUGACUUAUAAAGAAUAACUUAUCUUUUGUCCAAAAAAGAAAAAGAAUUAACUUAUCUUUAUGAGAGAGAUCAACCUUUUGUUUGUGUGAGACGUUAAAGGAAAAAAAAAUAUUUAUGAAACUUCCACGCUCUUCUUUCUUUAUCGUCUAAAGAGUGUAGAUCAUUCGUCAAUACAAAGUUUGGUUUCCCACUUAUUUCAUCAUGAAAUACAACUAGGUUGCAUGGAGAAAGUCGCUUUAUUCCACCAAUCAGAACUUCUCUUUUGGACACCACGUCAGCAAUAUAAAACCCACUUGGGCACUGAGCAAAGGUUUUUUUAUUAUUAUUUCAGCAUCUUCGACUGGGGGUUUAUGUUAUAGCACACCACUUAACAUAUCCAAAUCUUUAGCUUAAACUUAUUUACCAAAGGAUGUACUUUAGCUUGCAAAUUGUAAUGAAUAUGGAAAUAUCUAAUGGUUAGAUUGUGUAAUUGUCGUUUGCCAUCUGCGACCAUACUUGGUGGGUCCAACGUUACUAAUGAGUAAUGGCCGACACAGAAAUGGUAAAAGCUGAUUCAGAGUUUUCAAUUGCAAAUUCUUUUCAAAUUCACUAGUUUUGCUUAUACUUAUAAUGCAUACAUGGUGGGGACGUUAUAUUCUAAGUUACUAAUAUAUCUCUAACUCUCCGUUAAAGGAGUCCCUAGUUUGCUUGUCACAGCAAUAUAAUGAUCUGAUUUUUGGAGUGGCAAGUAAUGUGAGUUAGAGAAAGCUUAUUAUAGUUGCCCAGUGACUAGACUUUAUGCAGACUGUGACAGACUAGAUAUGCAUCAUGUAUGUUUCUGAAAGAAAAUAAAAAGGUUAAUGAGAAAUCGGAGUGGGGAAGAUGAUGUUAAGAUAUGUAGAAACACAUCCCCAACAUGCAAUUAUACAAAGAAUACAAAUGUCUAAUCAUUUUUUUUACACAUGUCUAAUCAUAUAUUAACCAGAUCUACUGUUGGUGUCUUCAUCCAAAACUUGAGUUAAUGUCUUUCAAAAGGUUUUUUUUUUUUUUUUUUGGAAAAUCCUACAAACCAAACAUGCUCCAAGUGAUUUCCGGAUUGGUUACAUAGUAGUUUACUAAGAGAAUCUCAACAUCUUUGGAAUUUAGAAAUGACAAGCCAAGGCCAUAAACAAGUAAACCUUUUGGAGAUAAUGAUAAGAGUAUCAAGAGAACUGACUAUUCUACACCUGAUUUCUUCUGAUCUACAACAGCUUGCAAGAAUGUAAAAAGGAGCAAAUCUCAGAUACCAUUUGGUUUUAUAUCAGCUUGCGGGUUUUGAGAGCGCUCCUGCAGCAAACAGCAGAUUUCUCCGAGAAAACUGUACCAAUGUAAACACACACACACAAAAAAAGAGUUUUAGCAUAUGCUUGAUCAGAGAACUUUGUAAUGCUAUUAAGGAAAGGUCCUAUAUGACGAAUCAAAUUAUUUAGCACACGCCCUCAAACUUUGGUUCUAAUCAAGUUAAUGGUUUGAUUUAUUUACAAGAACAAGAUGAUACACUUCGCAGAGAAUCCAGAGUUAAAACUAAUUCUUGUAAAGAGAGUAUAACUUACUCUGAGAGCGUGAACUGGUGUGGACUUCGUGGGGAAAGUCCUGAGUGAGCGCAGUCUGUUUGUGUUUCCAUUUCUGAUCAACAACAUGAUAAAAUCAUUAUAAUAAAACAAACUACGAUUCAAAGAGAACAAUGUUAUACACCUUUAGAACGGAGUAAACUCACUUUUCCUCGGCCUUGGUCAAUUUGGUGCUUGAAGUGACGUCCCACAGUUUCACUGUGCAGUCCGCAGAUCCAGAAGCCAGAAGAGACCCCUCGCCGCUGUAACAGAAAAAAAAACAGGUUCUUGGAUCAUUGGAAGUGCAGUUUGCGGGUUCACUAUGCCAACCAAGCCCAGCGACCCUAUAUCAUCACUCUCCACAACCUAUAACGAGAAUCCUCCCUAACUGAGUGAUAAAAGAAAAUAAUUUCCUGCUUAUCUCGCUGUCUCACCUGUAAGAGAGACUCCAUACACAUGAAUUAUGGCCCAUGAGAGGUGUGAUGCAGCGAGCUGUUGAGAGGUCCCACAUCAUUAUGGUUCCAUCUUCAUCACCAGAGGCCAUAUAUCUCCCAUCUGGUGACAUCGCCAAUGAUAAAACCAUACUCCUGUGCCCAAUGAAUAUCCUGACACAUUCCCCAGUUUGCACAUCCCAGAGUCUCACCGUCUUAUCACUAGAACCGGUCGCAAUGUAGUUACAAUUGGGAUGCCACUGUACACACUGAAACAAGGAUUUUGACAAGUACAUGAAAGGCACAUCAAUAGUUAUCCAAAUGGAAACUGAGAUCGCUUAUUUGUAUUACUGUCAAUCCAAAUAGUUAAGUAAUCCAACGUAACCUUAUGACUUCAACGAGCUUAGAUGACAAUCUCUAAAUCAACUAUAAACUGGUAGUUUUCUCCAAAAAAAACUAUAAACUGGUCGAUUCAUAACUUAUGAUUGCCAGGGCCAAAUUAAAAAUACGAAAAGCUACUAAUCUAAGUCAAUAAACAAUGCAAAGUGUUAGGCAACCAUUUAAACUGUGACACGGUAGACUAAUGCCGUGCAUGAAUUAAUAACUCAAACGGUCCCUUUUAUUUAAACUCUGUAAAUUAAAACCCUAACGAUCGUGAGGGAGACGCUUACAUCAACAUCAGAUAGAUGCCCUGCCAUUAUCCGCAGAGGUUGUACUCGGUCCAUCGACCAAAUCCGUGCAGUGCGAUCAUGAGAACAGCUUGCAAAGUAAUGCCCGAAAGGGCUAAACUGCACCAUGAAACGAGUAUAUAUACAUGACCGUUCUUCAUAAAUUCCAGUUUAUAUAAGACAAAUGUGUGAAAAUUGAACAGUUAUACCUGGACAUCCCAUACAGGGUAAUUGUGACCUUUGUAGCACACAAGAUUGGCAUUUAGUUGUGUGCUCCACAGCCGUACUGCACUUGUGAAUACAUGGUUGGUAACUAAGAAAACUCCAAACUAAUGACGGAGUAUAGGGAUAUGUAGAGGGAAAGACAUAUACAUACUCGUUGUAUCUGCUGAAGAAGAUAAUACAAAAUCUCCAGGUGGACUGAAAGUGGCCGAGUAAACUGGCCCUGAGUGACCCAGUAAUAAUGUAUAAUUUCUUCUGCCAUUUGGUCCAACGUUUUGAUCAUUUGUAUCACUUUCACCUUGCAAAGCACCUGAACCAGACAGCAUUAGUGUCUAUAAUUUCUCAUGGAAACACAAACAAGAAUCAUGAAAAAAAAACGAACAAGGGAAAUGUAUGAAGAAUGUAUCCUUUUUAAUUGCGGACGUCAAAAUAAUUGUUAUCACAAUGAAUGUCAUUAAAAACAUACCACUACCAGCUUGUCCUAUCUUCGCCAUGUCCCAGACCUGAACACCAUAAUCAUCAAUUAGAUAUCAUUUCGGAGAGUAAGAAAACAAAAGGAGGAAAAAAUAUACAACCAUUCAAGAAUAAGAUACCUUUAUUGAUGAAUCUGAGAAGCCACCAGCAACCAGAGAACCAUCAUGAGAUAUAGAUGCACAGUUUAAGCUGGGGGGCGAUAAAUGAGUGAGCAACAAGUUGCAAAUAAGCAGCAAAACAUUAGGAGGAGAUGAGGACAUUACCCGUUAUGAGUAUUAACAAAUGUAUAAAAGCUGACAGAUGGCAUUGCAACACUACUCAACUGCACACGGUUUCUCAGGUCUUCAAGGAUGGAUUCUUCUACAUCCGUUGACCUGACAUAAAGAAAAUUAAGAUGGAAAAAAAUCUAAGUUACAGUAGAUUAAGUUUUUCACACCUACUAUAUUUAUUUUCUCCUUUAAUCAGUCAUGCAUCGUCCAUAUAUAUUGUCUGUUCAUUACUCUUUCAUAAAAUCCUAACACAAAAAUGAGUUUAAGGGAUUCAAAAUUACAUGACUGGCAAGGCAAGUUCCGGUUUCACACGUGGUGCCGGCGAUACUAUGCUGGUCUCCUGACGUGCAACCUUUGCUGUUGCAUUUCCUGCUUUGUCCUUCUUUAACUUUUUUAAGGAAGAGCCUUGCUUUCCAAUUUCGUUGGAUCUUUUCUGAACACGGUAUCAACUGACGAGUGAAUAUGGAACUUUUCGUCCAGAAAAUUAUUGAUCUAAGUUGAAGCUUCUUAUCACCUUACUAUCGUCCACGUCCCCGUCUUUACUUUCUCCUUGUCCCUUCUCAGAAUCAGACAGUAGACUUCCCGUCUUCUCGAGGCGAUCUUCGAGCGAGUCUUCAAGCAACUAUGAAAGAAAAACGCACAUGUAGUUAGCGACUUCGCAAGUAUAAUAUCUUUGCUCGGAUGAGGUAUCAACAGGCAUCCAUCCAGAAAAAAAAAAGAGAGAGAGUAAAAGAAGCCUUAAGAAAAUACAUACUCCCCACUGUAUUUCUUUUUGAUUAAUGUGAUCAGCUGUCUCCUGAAAACUCCCAACAAUGGUGACAGCGUCUAUGUCAUCAGAUGAGGAAUUUGGUUGUCCCGAGUAGACUGCAACAAAUGACCCACGAAAAAACAGUGGACUCAGUCUGCUACUCAGAUAUAUGCUACAGGCUUAGGCAUAUAUACGAGAAAGUAACACAAUUACCUUGGAAAUUGAUGUGCUCGUUAAUAAUACCAAGCAUUAAAGUAGAUUCCGUCCUAUGUAGAUACUGAAGCAACAGAUCAUAUGAAUACUGCAACAUUAAGCAAACAUAUUAGAAGUCUGCAGCCAUGGAAUCCAAUUAAUCAGACCAGAAACCUCGAAGCAUUUGCCAGUAACAACAGCUAGUAAUCAUUUUCCACUUUAGUUUACCUGACAAAUCUUGAUGUUGACCUUGCUUUGUCUAAGAGAACGAGCAAACUCCAUCUCCUGAUAAGAACCAAGGUCACAAGACAGUUGAAAAAAAAGGAAAAAGAUUAAAAAAAAAGAAUCCUUUAUCAACAUUAUAAGGUUAGCUUUAAAAACCUCUAGAUGAGAAGGAACAAGAACGCCUUCCAGCUUCUGAAGAUCCCGUAAAUGUAUCAUUUCAUGAUCUUUCCGGAAGCUGUUAAAGAAGGCUCUCGCUGGAAUACAAGCAAAAAUAAGCACUGUUUCAGAAACAACUCAAAAUGUGAAAUUGUUGUGACUUUGAGAAGUACCUUCUUGAGUGUGCCCUUUACCAACCAGGUCCAUGUAACAAUGAAUAAACACAGGAUACAUCACUCGGAGCAACUCAUGCUACAAAUCCAAAAGCAACUCAUUAGUUUUCUAAAAGGCUCAAAACAAAACGAGACUAAGAAGGGAUAUAAAAAAAUGCUGACUUUAUAUAGAUCCAACGAGUUAUAAGCCCAUGACCUAAGUUUGCUGUAACCGUCACGGUACCGAGUUGGAUCAUUCUCUGAUCUGCAAAAAAAACAAAUUGCAUCAACAAACAUCUAAUUUAUUCCCUCAAUCACUAGGAUAUAAUCAUAAACUACAAAUUGAUAAGAAAAUUCUCAACAUUUAGGGUUUCAAAUUUCACACAUAACCACACAAAAUUCCCCAAAAAUUCAAUCGAAAUUCCAAUUGAAACAUAAACAAUAGAGAGAGAUUACUGGGAGAAGGAGCGAAUAAGCUUGGUGAGCUCAGGAUCGUUAUGGUAAUCAGUGGAAUUGAAGGUGCCACCAUUGUUGUGGUGAAGAGCUUCUUGAAGCUGUUUAGCUGCGUUGUUGAAGCCCUUCUUCUUCAAGUAGCCCAUUACGAACUCGUCCACUUGCUCUGGAUCCAUUCUUCUUCUCUCUUCCUCUUCUCUCUCUUUCGCUCACUGAGUUCUUCUUCUGUUCUGAAUCGGUUGCUUACCCUUCCGUCAAAUCUCGGGUCUGGUGAAGCAAUUUCGAGUAAUCUCAAGGCCUUUUGAUUAAUGGGCCUGUUCUAACUGGCCCAAUAAAUUUACUUCCGGUUUAGAUAUACGGAUACCUGAUGGUAUUAAACUACAUAAACAUUAAUUUAAUUAUAUAUUUCGACAGAAAAAAAUUAUCAGAUAUAAGUUUUGAAUUCUUGGAUUUUUUUUUACUUUUACCUUUCUUUUUUUCUUUAUUUCUGAUUAUUUUCGAAUUUUAAGAUAUGAAAAAUUCACUAUGAUAGAUUUUUUUAAAGUUUUUGUCACAAAAAUAGUUUUCAAUGAAAAAAAUGACCAAAAUAAGUUUUACUAAAGGGUAAAAAUGUAUUUUUAUUCUAGGAUUAACUAAUCUAGACUUACGGACCCUAAGUUAGGGUUUAGAGAUAAGAAGUGAAAUUUUGGGGAUAUGGUUUCAAAUUUAAAAAAAAAUUAAAAUUUUCAAAAUAAAAAGAAGUUAUUUUGGUUUUUUCUAGUACUAUUUUUGUGACAAAAAUUUAAAAAUAGCUAUUUGACAGAAUUGAUAUUUUAAUAUUAACAUAUUCAUUAAAAAAACAUGGAGAAAAUAGACUCAAUUAUUGAAGUCUUUCACUCUCACCACUGGUAUAAGAGAUAGCCUGAUUAGAAAUUAGGGAGCCAAAACGUUUGUUCUCUAAAGGUGAAAAAUUUAGAUAGGUUACUGAGCGAAAAGUCUAGUUGAAUUUGGAUGAAUACAAGUUUUUUUUUAUAUCUAUGGCGUUAGUCAGUUAGUCGUCAUGUUAUAUACAUUAUCUGUGCUCAUUCUAGCAAAAUACUUAUAAAUAUUCAUUAAUUUGGUAGAUUAGUUUGAACCAGAAGUAACGGUCAUGAAAAGUUGCGUAGUUAUCAAAGACAAUGUGCUAAAAGCUAUGCGUUUAUAUAUGAUAGUUAUUAAGGUUGAACUAUAUGAAAACAAGGUGCUAAACGAUGGAUUUACAAAUGAUAGUUAUUACGGUUACAUACUGCUUCAACUAUAUAAAACCAAGGAUAGCAUUAACUCCACUGAGUAAGAACCGGGACAAGUUGAAGUGGAACUUUCUUAGGAGACACAAGCCCAUACGAUUCUUCAAGAUCAACAUCUUCUAUCUCCAUCCCUUCUGGAAGCUUCCAAUCAAAUCGAUAAAGAAGGUUGAUAAGAGUCAGGUGUGCCAAAGCCAUACCAGGACACAUCAUCCUUCCGCUACCAAACGGCAACAACUCAAAGUUCAAACCCUUGUAGUCAAUCUCAUUGUGUUAAUAAUGCGACACAUAGAAUUAAUAACUAAGUUACUUUCAAACGGUAUAAUUUUUUUCCGGAUGAGCUGGCAUAAGUUUUUUUUGUUAUAUAUAUAUGCUAAAGCCGGAUAUAACUUAUAGUGCGACACAUAAGAUUAGUGACUAGGCUAUUUUAACGAUUUUUCCAUUAAAAUAAAGUUAAUAUCGUGUGAUCUGCUAGACCACAUAUUAUAUAUUCAUCUUUACUUUAAUUAAUGUUAAAACUGAGAUAUGUUUUAGUUUACUAACGGCUCACAUAAAGAUUAGUUCAUCAAAGUAAUUUUGUAUUUAGAGUUAAGUAAUCAAAUUAGUGAGCAAAAUAUGAAGAAAAUCAAGAAUAUGAAUACCCUAUUUUCCAAUUGUUUGAUUCACAUAUUCAUGGUAGUGUAACUAAAACUAACAAAAUUAUUAACAAAACAUUUAAUUUAUACUCUCCUUUGCUAUAGAAUUUAAUUU